UCAUCAGUGAAGUUCUGAAUCUUGACAGUGGUGCAAAUCUCAAGAAAUUCAUCUAAGUAUUUAUAAGGGUCUUCGUUGGUGAGCCCAUAAAAAGAUGGGAGCAUUUGGAUCACACUAGACUUUAUUUCGUAUUGUACAGCUGCUACCUCAGGUAAUCGAAUGCAAGAUGGGAAAGUGUAAAUGGUGGGAGUAAAGUACUCCCUCAGGAGUUUGGGUUAUUCUUCAGCCAUCUCAGGAGGUGGGGAUGAUUCUAAUGUUCUGAUCUCAGCUCGAAUAUUCCUAAGGGUUCGUUCUAUUUUAGGAUCAAAAGGUAAUAGGUCAC
This 322-nucleotide long non-coding RNA is filed under the name Phoenix dactylifera (date palm). Its description in RNAcentral is "long non-coding RNA (PDAC_LNC008350)". The record is from RNAcentral. Lineage: Eukaryota; Viridiplantae; Streptophyta; Magnoliopsida; Arecales; Arecaceae.